Molecule: long non-coding RNA, 483 nt
Organism: Dermacentor silvarum
Lineage: Eukaryota; Metazoa; Arthropoda; Arachnida; Ixodida; Ixodidae
Exons: 4
Source: RefSeq, a predicted model, not a curated record
GUGAGAGAUCGUAACGCACAGAGACUGCCGGAUGCAUACGAAAGCCUACCAGCAGGGAGUGACAGUGCCAUUUUUCUAUUACCGUCUCAGGUAUUGAAGAAGCGGCAACAGCCACAGAAAGUAGCCAUCUUAUCCAGCACGUUAUGGGUAGAACUUGGCGGCUCCUGCUCCUGCCUUCCACCACCACCCUGUCCCGACUGCUUCCACUAGAGAGUUGGCAACCUUAGUGAUGAUGCCAAGCAGUCCGAUGGCAGACGGCAAGAUGCAGGUUGCUGCGAAAUUUUACCCGAGCUGGGCCACACACUUGAGCCAGGCCUCUUGGAAAGGAUGCCAUAAUCAGACUCCACGCGUCGAUGUCAGAGGAUGCCAGGGAUCAAGGCAACCUGUUGUGCCCCACUAUUCAAUGUUUGGUGACCCUUCUAUAUGUUUCACCUAUUUCGCAGCUGUACCUCGGCUGCCAUCUAUCCAAACAGCAUCGCCAGC